GGGAAAGGAGCUUCUGACCAUAUAACCAUGGCUACCGUCUCUCUCCAUGUGACUCGUGGACUUCCCUUUGUCAUCCUAUGCCUGAGAAUAUAUGAAGGGGGCUGGGAAGGCAAAGGGACGUUCAGUUGUCAUCAUUGGCAUCUCUUUUGA
Molecule: microRNA precursor, 150 nt
Organism: Sarcophilus harrisii (Tasmanian devil)
Lineage: Eukaryota; Metazoa; Chordata; Mammalia; Dasyuromorphia; Dasyuridae
Gene: sha-mir-204
Product: sha-mir-204
Source: Ensembl